RNAcentral lists this transfer RNA (73 nucleotides) under Mustela putorius furo (domestic ferret). It matches the Rfam family "tRNA". Rfam says of the family: Transfer RNA (tRNA) molecules are approximately 80 nucleotides in length. Their secondary structure includes four short double-helical elements and three loops (D, anti-codon, and T loops). The record is from Rfam by way of RNAcentral. Lineage: Eukaryota; Metazoa; Chordata; Mammalia; Carnivora; Mustelidae.
ACCCAGCUGGCUCAGUUGGAGGAGCCUGUGACUCUUGAUCUUGGGGUUGUGAGUUCAAGCCCCACACUGGGUG